Molecule: ribosomal RNA, 429 nt
Filed under: Gemmatimonadota bacterium
Lineage: Bacteria; Pseudomonadati; Gemmatimonadota
Description: Gemmatimonadetes bacterium partial 16S ribosomal RNA
Rfam family: Bacterial small subunit ribosomal RNA
Source: RNAcentral
UAGGGAAUCUUCGGCAAUGGACGAUAGUCUGACCGAGCAACGCCGCGUGAGUGAAGAAGGUUUUCGGAUCGUAAAACUCUGUUGUUAGAGAAGAACAAGGACGUUAGUAACUGAACGUCCCCUGACGGUAUCUAACCAGAAAGCCACGGCUAACUACGUGCCAGCAGCCGCGGUAAUACGUAGGUGGCAAGCGUUGUCCGGAUUUAUUGGGCGUAAAGCGAGCGCAGGCGGUUUCUUAAGUCUGAUGUGAAAGCCCCCGGCUCAACCGGGGAGGGUCAUUGGAAACUGGGAGACUUGAGUGCAGAAGAGGAGAGUGGAAUUCCAUGUGUAGCGGUGAAAUGCGUAGAUAUAUGGAGGAACACCAGUGGCGAAGGCGGCUCUCUGGUCUGUAACUGACGCUGAGGCUCGAAAGCGUGGGGAGCAAACAGG